This 668-nucleotide ribosomal RNA is filed under the name uncultured bacterium. RNAcentral's name for it is "bacterial SSU rRNA". It matches the Rfam family "Bacterial small subunit ribosomal RNA", at positions 61 to 761 of the family's 1533-position model. The record is from RNAcentral.
GUCGCACGAGAAAGGGGCUUCGGCCCUGAGUACAGUGGCGCACGGGUGAGUAACACGUGAAUUAUCUACCUCCGAGUGGGGAAUAACUGAGAGAAAUCUUAGCUAAUACCGCAUAACACUUACGAGUCAAAGCAGCAAUGCGCUUGGAGAGGAGUUCGCGGCCGAUUAGUUAGUUGGCGGGGUAAUGGCCCACCAAGACGAUGAUCGGUAUCCGGCCUGAGAGGGCGCACGGACACACUGGAACUGAAACACGGUCCAGACUCCUACGGGAGGCAGCAGUGGGGAAUUUUGCGCAAUGGGGGAAACCCUGACGCAGCAACGCCGCGUGGAGGAUGAAAUAUCUUGGUAUGUAAACUCCUUUCGAUGGGGAAGAUUAUGACGGUACCCAUAGAAGAAGCCCCGGCUAACUUCGUGCCAGCAGCCGCGGUAAUACGAGGGGGGCAAGCGUUGUUCGGAUUUAUUGGGCGUAAAGGGUGCGUAGGCGGUUUGGCAAGUCUUGUGUGAAAUCUUUGGGCUCAACCCAAAGUCUGCACAAGAAACUGCCGGGCUUGAGUAUGGGAGAGGUGAGUGGAAUUUCCGGUGUAGCGGUGAAAUGCGUAGAUAUCGGAAGGAACACCUGUGGCGAAAGCGGCUCACUGGACCAUUACUGACGCUGAGGCACGAAAGCU